RNAcentral lists this ribosomal RNA (474 nucleotides) under Leucosolenida sp. 22 JV-2020. RNAcentral's name for it is "partial large subunit ribosomal RNA". It matches the Rfam family "Eukaryotic large subunit ribosomal RNA", at positions 366 to 664 of the family's 3401-position model. Lineage: Eukaryota; Metazoa; Porifera; Calcarea; Leucosolenida. The record is from RNAcentral.
GAAAAGAACUUUGGAGAGAGAGUUAAAAGCACGUGAAACCGUUGAAAGGGAAACGCGCUCGGCUAGCAAUGCACGCCUGUGGUUCAGCCGGCUAGUCUAGUGGGCUGUUGCGUUGCGGAUCCGAAUGGACCGUGCGUGGCGGUGACGCUGGGCGAGCUGUGGUGCACUCCAUGGGUGUGCGCGUCAGCGUCGGUUCUCGACGAGUGAUGAGGUGCCUGGGGGAAGGUAGCUCGCCUCUUCGGAGGCGAGUGUUAUAGACCCUGGUGCUGGACUCGUCGCGGGACCGAGGAGAGAGAUGAUCGCUGCGGCACCUGCCUCUCGGGGCUAGCCAGCCGUUGUCAGAUGUGCGCCAGGUGCUGAGGACUGCACGCAGUGCUCGGCGUUUUGUCGUGGUCUGGCGGCGGUGUGGGCAUAGAGGUGCCUAGGACGCUGGCGUCCAAAUGGCCGUGCGCGACCCGUCUUGAAACACGGAAA